This 58-nucleotide microRNA precursor is filed under the name Oryctolagus cuniculus (rabbit). RNAcentral's name for it is "microRNA ocu-mir-506 precursor". Its record names the gene ocu-mir-506. Lineage: Eukaryota; Metazoa; Chordata; Mammalia; Lagomorpha; Leporidae. The record is from miRBase by way of RNAcentral.
UACUCAGGAAGGCAUUAUUCAUGUAUUUUGAUGUGUGAAUGGUACACUUCUGAGUAGA